Molecule: long non-coding RNA, 480 nt
Organism: Homo sapiens (human)
Lineage: Eukaryota; Metazoa; Chordata; Mammalia; Primates; Hominidae
Product: long intergenic non-protein coding RNA 2350
Source: Ensembl
CAACAAAUGAGGCUUCCUGCAGUCACUAAGGAUCACGAUUCUAAAUAAAUCUGAGAAGCUCAGCAAUAGAGGUCGCCCCCUCCCCCGGGCGGAGUCCUUGAUAUCUGAAACAAGGCUUCACAUCAUCUGGCAUUAAACUAUGGGGCUGCUUGAAGGCAGAAUUUGUCUUAUUCUGAUGUAGGAUGACCAAAACAUCUGGAGAAACAAAUUGGGGUGAGCCCUCUCCAAGCGUGUUAAUAAAAUACUAGUUGUCAGCAUAAGACAGACAACAAGGCAAGACCCAGAAGCCACUUGCUCCACAUCUGCAGUUACAAGGCAGAACAAAUUUGCCAGAACCAAGCUACAGAUGGGGAAACUGAGGCCUGGAGUAACCAGUCAUAUUGCUUCCAUGCUGGGAACUCUCCAAUGACAUAUCGCACAAUACAGAGCCAACCUCAAGUUCCCCACCAUAGACCACAAGGACUUGCAAGUUCUAACCUU